CAGCAGCCGCGGGAAUACGAAGGGGGCUAGCGUUGCUCGGAAUGACUGGGCGUAAAGGGCGUGUAGGCGGUUUUGACAGUCAGAUGUGAAAUUCCUGGGCUUAACCUGGGGGCUGCAUUUGAGACGUUAAGACUAGAGUGUGAGAGAGGGUUGUGGAAUUCCCAGUGUAGAGGUGAAAUUCGUAGAUAUUGGGAAGAACACCGGUGGCGAAGGCGGCCCCCUGGGCCAAUACUGACGCUCAUGCACGAAAGCGUGGGGAGCAAACAGGAUUAGAUACCCCAGUAGUCCCUGUCUCUUAUAC
This 301-nucleotide ribosomal RNA is filed under the name uncultured bacterium. Its description in RNAcentral is "partial 16S ribosomal RNA". It matches the Rfam family "Bacterial small subunit ribosomal RNA", at positions 509 to 807 of the family's 1533-position model. The record is from RNAcentral.